Molecule: ribosomal RNA, 229 nt
Filed under: uncultured bacterium
Lineage: Bacteria
Description: partial 16S ribosomal RNA
Rfam family: Bacterial small subunit ribosomal RNA
Source: RNAcentral
CCUAAAAAACUAGGUCUCAGUUCAGAUUGCAGGCUGCAACCCGCCUGCAUGAAGUCGGAAUUGCUAGUAAUCGCGGAUCAGCAUGCCGCGGUGAAUACGUUCCCGGGCCUUGUACACACCGCCCGUCACACCAUGAGAGUCGGGAACACCCGAAGUCCGUAGCCUAACCGCAAGGAGGGCGCGGCCGAAGGUGGGUUCGAUAAUUGGGGUGAAGUCGUAACAAGGUAUC